RNAcentral lists this long non-coding RNA (526 nucleotides) under Pan troglodytes (chimpanzee). RNAcentral's name for it is "lincRNA". Lineage: Eukaryota; Metazoa; Chordata; Mammalia; Primates; Hominidae. The record is from RNAcentral.
CUUCCUUCCAUUAGCCUUGACGCUACCUCUACGGUCCUGCAGCUGCAACUCCCCACCCCUGUCCCACAGAUGCAGGCCUCCUCUGUCCCUGGACACUGGACUUCAGGCUGAGGUGUCCUGCCUUGGAGGCACUGCUCAAAGAAGAAAGGGACACCAUCCCUAGUUUCAAGGCGCGACUUGUCCUGCCCCUGAUGGCUGUGGCUGAUCCACGAGGAAGUAAACUUGGACUGGGAAAACACAAACUGUCUCGGCCUGCAACAUACAUCCCAUUGAUAAACGUAUUGAUAAACCCUAACGUCGAUAAGACAUCUGUCUGGACCUUUCAGGUCUGAACAGACAGGGCAGCUGCUGAGAACCUGGGGAAACUGACAAUCCGAUUCCUCUCUGUGUCUGAACCUUCCCUCUUCUCACUGCACCACCACUGCAGGCCUCUUUGACUCACACAAGACCGUUUUUUAGCACAAGGUCACCUUGAGGUCAACCGUCAACCCCAAUGCUACAGAAACUCACCUCUGACUGCGAACCU